GGUAAAACACUCAAUUGAAAAGGUUGAUCCCAGAGAAUAAAGAGGAUUAAGUGCCGGGCAGCGGAGAAAAGCAAGGACAAAAAUGAAAAAAAAAAGAAAAAGAAACGAAGGAGAAGGAUGGAGAAAAGGAAUGAGGAAAAGAAAUGAGGAUAGGAAGAAUGAAAUUCGGUGUCAGGUUUGUGAAGGACUGUGUAUACAACUCCAGUACUUAUUGCGCAGGGCGUUGGCGUUGAGCAGACCACAUUGAAGAAGAGAAAGUGCGAGAGAGAGAGAUAUAGAUAACAGGGGGUGGUGGAUAUCAGGGGUGGGGGUGUGGAAAAUCCUAGGGUGGGCAAACCGGAGACGAGCGUAUCUCCCAGUCACUGUCGACACCGACACGCAAUAACGUGAAUUCUUGUGCGCACCCCCCUUUCACCCAAUGAUCAAGUGACCAAAAGAAAAAAAAAUAAAAUAAAAUUUAUUUUUUAUUUCGGUUCUCAUUUGAGUUUACAAAAAAAAAAAAUAAAAUUGGUUUUAAAAUCGUACAAAAGUGAUUUUUUAACAUAAUCUCUACUAAUUUACCAACUGCGUGUCUUCUUUAAAACAAACAAACAAACAAUAAAAAUUGAAAAAAUUAAAAGCAUUAACAAUAACUAACCCGCAAUCAAGCUAAAGCAUUAUGUCUUCACAAAGGAAACCUCAUCGUCACAAGUCUUGAAAGGAGAAAGCACAAUAAAGUGGUCUUUCAGAAAAAAUCGACGUGGUGGUGGGAAUUGAGGAGAAAAUAGAGUCAAGUCAAGUUCAUCUGACUGAGAGAAAAAGAGAAGCAAGCUACGUGGGAGGGACUGAAAUUGUAUUCCUGGGCCCGUCGUGGUGUUGUCCG
This is a long non-coding RNA of Leptopilina heterotoma, 862 nucleotides long. RefSeq lists it as uncharacterized. The record is from RefSeq and is a predicted model, not a curated record. The transcript is spliced from 3 exons. Lineage: Eukaryota; Metazoa; Arthropoda; Insecta; Hymenoptera; Figitidae.